GUCCACACAUCAUUGACCUUCAUGGACUCCAUUUCGGAUUUCAUGGCCUCUAGCCAUUUCUCAGAGUCAGGUCUCUACAUUGCAUCCAUGUAGGUGAUCGAAUCCUCAUCAUUUUCAUCAAGUUCGACAAGAUCGCCAUCCCGGACCAAGAAACCAUAGUAUCUGUCCGGUUGAUGUAGUACUCUACCAGACCGCCUUAAGGGUGCAUAAUCAAUGGGCUCCGGAUC
This 227-nucleotide long non-coding RNA is filed under the name Elaeis guineensis (African oil palm). Its description in RNAcentral is "long non-coding RNA (EGUI_LNC024862)". Lineage: Eukaryota; Viridiplantae; Streptophyta; Magnoliopsida; Arecales; Arecaceae. The record is from RNAcentral.